RNAcentral lists this ribosomal RNA (161 nucleotides) under uncultured bacterium. RNAcentral's name for it is "partial 16S ribosomal RNA". It matches the Rfam family "Bacterial small subunit ribosomal RNA", at positions 355 to 507 of the family's 1533-position model. The record is from RNAcentral.
UGGGGAAUAUUGCGCAAUGGGCGAAAGCCUGACGCAGCAACGCCGCGUGGGUGAUGAAGGCCUUCGGGUCGUAAAGCCCUGUCGGAGGGAACGAAUGCUCCUGGGGUUAACAGCCUCGGGAAGUGACGGUACCCUCAAAGGAAGCACCGGCUAACUCUGUG